This 255-nucleotide ribosomal RNA is filed under the name uncultured bacterium. RNAcentral describes it as "partial 16S ribosomal RNA". It matches the Rfam family "Bacterial small subunit ribosomal RNA", at positions 524 to 776 of the family's 1533-position model. The record is from RNAcentral.
UACGUAGGGUGCAAGCGUUUAAUCGGAAUUACUGGGCGAAAGCGUGCGCAGGCGGUUUUUGUAAGUUUGUCGUGAAAGCCCCGGGCUCAACCUGGGAAUUGCGAUGAAGACUGCAAGGCUUGAAUCUGGCAGAGGGGGGGUAGAAUUCCACGUGUAGCAGUGAAAUGCGUAGAGAUGUGGAGGAACACCGAUGGCGAAGGCAGCCCCCUGGGUCAAGAUUGACGCUCAUGCACGAAAGCGUGGGGAGCAAACAGG